UCGAACGAGAGAGAGAGAGAAGCUUGCUUUUCUUACGAUCGAGUGGCAAACGGGUGAGUAACGCGUAAACAACUGCCCCGCAGAUGGGGACAACAGCUGGAAACGGCUGCUAAUACCGAAUACGGUCCUCUUAGCGCAUGGUAAGAGGAAGAAAGGGUGGCCUCUGGAACAAGCUACCGCUGCGGGAGGGGUUUGCGUCUGAUUAGCUGGUUGGAGGGGUAACGGCCCACCAAGGCGACGAUCAGUAUCCGGUCUGAGAGGAUGAACGGCCACAUUGGAACUGAGACACGGUCCAGACUCCUACGGGAGGCAGCAGUGGGGAAUCUUCCGCAAUGGGCGAAAGCCUGACGGAGCAACGCCGCGUGAGUGAAGACGGCUUCGGGUUGUAAAGCUCUGUUAUAGGGGACGAACGGCCGGGUAGCGAAGAGGUAGCCGGCAUGACGGUACCGUAAGAGA
Molecule: ribosomal RNA, 456 nt
Filed under: Megasphaera geminata
Lineage: Bacteria; Bacillati; Bacillota; Negativicutes; Veillonellales; Veillonellaceae
Description: bacterial SSU rRNA
Rfam family: Bacterial small subunit ribosomal RNA
Source: RNAcentral